RNAcentral lists this unclassified non-coding RNA (291 nucleotides) under Typhula sp. RNAcentral's name for it is "partial contains 5.8S ribosomal RNA, internal transcribed spacer 2, and large subunit ribosomal RNA". The stretch from base 1 to 52 matches the Rfam family "5.8S ribosomal RNA", at positions 103 to 154 of the family's 154-position model. Lineage: Eukaryota; Fungi; Basidiomycota; Agaricomycetes; Agaricales; Typhulaceae. The record is from RNAcentral. RNAcentral also lists the same sequence under 3 other names.
AACGCACCUUGCACUCUUUGGUAUUCCGAAGAGUAUGUCUGUUUGAGUGUCAUGAAACUCUCAACCCCCCUGUUUUGUAAUGAGACAGCGCGCGGGCUUGGAUUAUGGCUGCUUGUCGGAUCUUAACCAGACCGGCUCGGCUGAAAUAUACGAGCGACCCAACUGAAAGAGACGGCUUGACUCGGCGUAAUAACUAUUAUCGCUGAGGACGUCCCCUUCUCCGUGGCGCUUCUAAUGCACACCAUUUAAGCUUUAGACCUCAAAUCAGGCAGGACUACCCGCUGAACUUAA